GCGGGUAUAGUAUAGCAGUAGUACGGGACCCUUCCAAGGUUCAAGCAGGGGUGCAAAUCCCCUUACCCGCU
This 71-nucleotide transfer RNA is filed under the name Candidatus Tayloriibacteriota bacterium. RNAcentral describes it as "tRNA-Gly". It matches the Rfam family "tRNA". Rfam says of the family: Transfer RNA (tRNA) molecules are approximately 80 nucleotides in length. Their secondary structure includes four short double-helical elements and three loops (D, anti-codon, and T loops). Further hydrogen bonds mediate the characteristic L-shaped molecular structure. tRNAs have two regions of fundamental functional importance: the anti-codon, which is responsible for specific mRNA codon recognition, and the 3' end, to which the tRNAs corresponding amino acid is attached (by aminoacyl-tRNA synthetases). tRNAs cope with the degeneracy of the genetic code in two manners: having more than one tRNA (with a specific anti-codon) for a particular amino acid; and 'wobble' base-pairing, i.e. permitting non-standard base-pairing at the 3rd anti-codon position. Lineage: Bacteria; Candidatus Tayloriibacteriota. The record is from RNAcentral.